This 140-nucleotide transfer RNA is filed under the name Candidatus Woesearchaeota archaeon. Its description in RNAcentral is "tRNA-OTHER". It matches the Rfam family "tRNA". Rfam says of the family: Transfer RNA (tRNA) molecules are approximately 80 nucleotides in length. Lineage: Archaea; Nanobdellati; Candidatus Woesearchaeota. The record is from RNAcentral.
GCGGACGUGUCGGAGUGGUCAAACUAAACAUUGUUUGGCAGGAUAGGUGCUAAACAUCUAGCUUCACAAAGGCCGAUGAAAUGCUCUAUGGGCCAUCUGUUGGCUUAGUGCCUACGCAGGUUCAAAUCCUGCCGUCCGCA